UUGUGACUUAAAUCACCUUAUUUUAUUUGAAUGUUUCUUUAGCAACAUAGAUUAUUAAAGUUUACCUGAUAAACGUUACCAAUAUCCGGAUGUAUCAGUAGCUACAGGAAAUAUUAUUUAUCUUACCUUUUGUGAGCUACGAUAUGCCAGUUGGACAUUUGGACAGUGUUGAUGGAACUACAACAACAAAAGUUAAAGAUAAGAAGAUAAAAAAAUCGGAUAAGAAAUACUACGAUGUAAAGAAGACUAUAGCUGAAUGCUUGCUAGACUUGGCCAUUCUGAUAAUCAACAUCUUCAUGGUAAAAGCCGUUGUGGAUACUGGACCUAAAAAUGCAUAUUUCGAAACACUAGUUGUUCUCCUUUCAUUUUCAAUUUUCUGUCAAAUUUUUGUUGGUUUUCUUCUGUUGGUCAUCGGAAUUGGAGAAAGCAAGGAUAUCAGUAAUAAAGUAUGGCUGCAUCGAUUCAAUACUGUCAACGUAGCGUUUAUUAUGCUGAUUGCCAUCUUGAAUAUUAUCAUCGGUGCUAUAGGAAUUGAACUCAAUUCUGGUGAUAAUUCGAAAUACAAUAGGACUUUAGAUGAUUAAUAUCCUGAAGUGAAAUUCCUGUUAAAACUUCAAACGAGAUUUUGUUAUAUUUUAUCACAUUUAAAUGAGAUAUCAACUAUGAAAAAUAAAUUGAAAUAAAACAA
Mytilus californianus (California mussel) is the source of this 688-nucleotide long non-coding RNA. RefSeq lists it as uncharacterized. The record is from RefSeq and is a predicted model, not a curated record. The transcript has 2 exons. Lineage: Eukaryota; Metazoa; Mollusca; Bivalvia; Mytilida; Mytilidae.